CAGUCGCCGCGGUAAAACGUAGGUGGCAAGCGUUGUCCGGAAUUAUUGGGCGUAAAGGGCUCGCAGGCGGUUUCUUAAGUCUGAUGUGAAAGCCCCCGGCUCAACCGGGGAGGGUCAUUGGAAACUGGGAAACUUGAGUGCAGAAGAGGAGAGUGGAAUUCCACGUGUAGCGGUGAAAUGCGUAGAGAUGUGGAGGAACACCAGUGGCGAGGGCGACUCUCUGGUCUGUAACUGACGCUGAGAGCGAAAGCGUGGGGAGCGAACAGGAUUAGAUACCCCAGUAGUCCCUGUCUCUUAUACA
RNAcentral lists this ribosomal RNA (301 nucleotides) under uncultured bacterium. RNAcentral describes it as "partial 16S ribosomal RNA". It matches the Rfam family "Bacterial small subunit ribosomal RNA", at positions 509 to 808 of the family's 1533-position model. The record is from RNAcentral.